RNAcentral lists this ribosomal RNA (492 nucleotides) under uncultured bacterium. RNAcentral's name for it is "partial 16S ribosomal RNA". It matches the Rfam family "Bacterial small subunit ribosomal RNA", at positions 29 to 507 of the family's 1533-position model. The record is from RNAcentral.
AGUGAACGCUGGCGGUAGGCCUAACACAUGCAAGUCGAACGGCAGCACAGUAAUAGCUUGCUCUUACGGGUGGCGAGUGGCGGACGGGUGAGGAAUACAUCGGAAUCUACUUUUUCGUGGGGGAUAACGUAGGGAAACUUACGCUAAUACCGCAUACGACCUACGGGUGAAAGCAGGGGAUCUUCGGACCUUGCGCGAUUGAAUGAGCCGAUGUCGGAUUAGCUAGUUGGCGGGGUAAAGGCCCACCAAGGCGACGAUCCGUAGCUGGUCUGAGAGGAUGAUCAGCCACACUGGAACUGAGACACGGUCCAGACUCCUACGGGAGGCAGAAGUGGGGAAUAUUGGAAAAUGGGCGCAAUCCUGAUCCAGCCAUACCGCGUGGGUGAAGAAGGCCUUCGGGUUGUAAAGCCCUUUUGUUGGGAAAGAAAAGCAGCAGGUUAAUACCCCGCUGUUCUGACGGUACCCAAAGAAUAAGCACCGGCUAACUUCGUG